GAUACUUCUUCUUGGGACGCGUUUUAUUUGGCAGUUUUCUGAAUGUUAAAUACCAUUGGAUGGGUUACUUUUUAUUGGCAUUGGAAACACAUCAUAAUGUGAUACUUCUUCUUGGGACGCGUUUUAUUUGGCAGUUUUCUGAAUGUUAAAUACCAUUGGAUGGGUUACUUUUUAUUGGCAUUGGAAACACAUCACAUUAUGGCAGGGCAACGUUUCACAACUUAAUGAAUCCUCCACUUAUUUGAUCGGAUGGUUAAGAGAUUACCUAUAGUUAAACUCUUCACAACAUAUCAAAGGAUAUAAUCCUUUUGGGAUGAAUAGUUUAUCAGUGUGGGCUUGGAUGUUCUUAUUUGGACAUCUUGUUUGGGCUACUAGAUUUAUGUUCUUAAUUUCCUGCAACGGGUAUAUCUGCAAUGGAGUACAAUGCAAGGGACUCGCCGGCACACUCAUGUUGGCUGUGGCAAAGACUUGAGCAUAGAGGUGUCAGUGCGCAGAUCUGCAACGAGUGGUAGGAAUGACGCAUCCUAGCAACGAAGGGAGGAGUAGGAGCUACGGUCAGGUCAGUCCCCUGUUUUGUACAACUACUUUCCCCUUCCCCUUUCAUUAGAGGGAAGGGGAUUUCUGGAAUUAAGGAUUUUGGUCAAAGGUAGUAGAUUUCAAUUUCGUCCUACCCUUAGGUUUGCAUUCUGAUUGGUGUUAGAAGUUGAUAGGCUAUAGUUUAUGAAGUGCAAAACUAAACAUUGAUUUCAAGUUACAAUGACUUUUAUGAAGCAUCCAAGUUUCCAUCAUCUUCUUCCAUUGGGAGCAACUAGUAGGAGACAUCGACCUGCAACACUACUCAUUGGCAUCCUAAAACAAGUGCGAUCACGGGUUGAGAACUGUGCUGAAGUAUUGUUGGACCUUUUCUCAACCUUGGUUGCCGGUUUGCUUCCUGCCCAAAGGUAAUGGCUACCUGCUUCAUAGAGAUUUUGGUUAUGUGCUUUCAUGUUACUGUUGUCAACAGCGAUUUGUAAAGGGGCGUUUAAUUAGUAGGAAGAAAAAAAGCAAUGCGGUUACAUGAUCUUAGUUGAUCCAGAAUGGGAUGAUAGAGCCUUUGGUGUGACUUGUGACUUGCGACGUGCGCGUGUGGGAGGCCUCCCGGAAAUUUCUAAUAUUUUUUUUAGCACAAAAUCGUUUAGUCCCGGUUGGUUUUACCAAUUGUGAUAAAAGGGGCUCUUUAGUCCCGAUUGAGUGACCCGGGCCUAAAGACCCCCUUUAGUAUCGAUUGCUUUAUCCCGGAUGGUUUUUUUGGGAGAUUUGCUCCCUACCAACCGGGAUAAAAGGUCAGUUUUCUACCCGUGCAUGUAAAUUACUUGUAACUUCAUAGAGAAAGACCUCAGUAAUUUACUUGAUACAUACUGCUGUAGGAACGCAAGAGGCCAAUGCCGGGCAUGUCGACGGCGACCGGACAAAUUAGGAAACAACAAGAGAUGUGCAUGCGCCGUAAGGCCGCAAUACCGAAAAAAAUAGAAGUGUGAUGCGGGUCUCUUGUGUGAGCGUGACUCACAAACACGAUCUUUAUAUAUAUUUCUGCUCGCAUACGGUACGUACAUUGCAUGUGCAUGCGAACUUGAACUUGUCGAUCGCCUUCCAAGUAAUGAAGCAGAAAAAAUGGCCGGCGGCUUCACUUGGUUGCAGUCUUGCACGCAGGAAAAAGUAGAGUCUACAUGCAUCUGACAAACUACACAUGUUCCACCUAGCAUCAAAUAUGUUGGUGCCUCUGGAUAUAUAGUAUGUUUUGGAUUAAUGUGAUGCACACAUAUAUGAUACAUUACUGCACUCAUAUAUGGUGCUACGUAUACUCCCGUACGCGCUGCAGUGUGGAUAUAAACUUACCUAGUAAAGUUAGGGGGGGCACCUAUAUAGUGUAUUAUUAUGCAUCGAUAUAGUGUAUGUCUAGCUGCAUAAUAAAAUCUACUCCCUCCAUCCCACAAAGACUGUUCGUUUAGCUUUCAAAAUAUGUCCCACAAAGAGUGUCCAUUGUAAGGAAAAUGGCCUUAGACCAUAAUGAUGUGUUUUAUAAGUCCCAAGGAUGAAUUACAAAACUAUCAAAAUGAGAAUAAAAAGAAAGACUUAAAAGAAUUCUACGACAUCCAAAUGAUAGUAAAAAAUCCAGAGAUAGUCUUAUUUUAAGGCUUACAAAUGAUGGUAAUGAAGCCGGGACAAAGACACAUAGAGAUUUGAAGCAAAUACUGCUAAAAAUAUGCACCGACAUAUUCCACCGACUCAUACUGUGGUAACAGUAACCGUCACCGAUUCAGUCGGUGACCACAUGCAAGGCCAAGGUAGGUGCAUGCACUAUUACCACCGAUUCAUACUCUAGUAACAGUAACUAUCACCGGAUGAGUCGGUGACCACAGGCAGGAGCAUGGUAGGUGCAUGCACUGUUACCACCGAUUCAUACUCUGGUAAUAGUAACCAUCACUGAAUCAGUCGGUGACCACAGGCAAGGCCACGUAGGCGCGUGCACUAUUUCUACCACUACAAGAAAUGUGUUGAUCUAUGAUGAAAAUUUAAUGACACAUUUGUUCUCAUCAUAGAUCUAUGAGGUUUCUGGCUGAAAAGUCACGAAGUUUCAAAUCUGAGAAAAUUUAGUGACAAAGUUACAGAACGUCAUAAAAGUUGGCACUAUAGCCAAAAAGAAAUCAUCACUAGCUGUUACAUGGUGGUUUUGUGAUGAUAUAAGCUCCGUGAGAAUGUCAUAACCAACCAGGAUCGCACAUGUAAGUUUAAGCUGAUAAAUAGGGCGCUAAAAUAAAAAGGAAGAUGUGCUCCUGCCAUGGGUCGAACAUGUUACCGAUCAAAUGGGAAGUCUUUACCAUGACCGGCUGCGAGAGGAUGAGGAGCCACGAUGAGGCCAGUGCUCUGGUUGGAGCCGCUACUUUCCCCUAUCCUUCUAGGGAACGGGAUUUCUGGAUUUGGGGAUCUAUGUUGAACAUACUAGAUUCGUGAUGCAGUUAGUUUUUAAUUUGGAUCGUAUUAUGGAUUGAUAGGUUCAAAUAUUUUACUAGAGGUGCUUGAAGUCAUUGGUAGCGGCAGAUCGGGGCCUCCUGACGAUGAUCUUAUCGUUGUGGAUCCUGUAAACAAGUGUGAGCACGAGUAUGCUCUCCUUGUGAGGUAUAAUUGGACAUUUGACAACCCUGGGCACCGGUAUGCAUCCUGCAGCGAGGUAAACGAUAACUUGUUUCAAUUGUAACAAACUUUGCUUGUGCUCUUGAUGUUAGUGUUGUAAGUGGAGAAUUGUAUUAACGUAAUUGGUGUCUGCAGUGUGAAGGGCUAAAAUGUGCAGCGUUUAUGUGGGUUGAUCCUGAAUGGGAUGCUAGAACUAAAGGUAUUAUGAUGAAGCUGAUGAAGAGGAAGGCAAAAGCUGAGGAGGAAGCAAGGUCAUCAAAGGCAGAAUGCGCAAAGGCUAACAUGAAGCUUGAAGUGACUGCUGCUGAGCUGCAGUAGGUGAAGGGACACCUAGAACAUGCCACCAAUGUGGUGAAGAAGGUGAAGCAAUCGCUACUGGUGUGAUGUACUAUCUAGCAAAUUAGGAUAAGUAAGAAUGAUGAUUAUGAACUUUGUAGUGAUGAAUAUAAUGGCCAUGACAUGCAAUCUGAUUAUGCUGCUUUGAUUUAAUCUACUUUCAAUUUUAUGCCAGCAUAUUUAAUAUUCAGAAUUUAGAUACAUUGCAUAAUUGAGGAACACUAAUAAUAUAGAUAUUGGUAGUAUAUAUACAAAUGCGUUGUCUCAUAAUACAACUGGCAGCUGAGAUAAUAAAAUCUGGUAGGAUCCCACAACUCAGUCUAAGAUAAAAAAGGAAGAAAAAUAAAAAGGUAAAAGUGUCCACAGCAGGGAUCGAACUUGUGAUGACCUCUUGUUUCUGAAUAGUCAGCACUACCACUGAGACAUAAUACAGUUUAUGGUUUUUCAAUAAGGCAACUUCUUUUGAUUACAGUUCUAAUAAGUGUGGUCCACUUCCGGCCAUUGAUAUUAGUAAAGGGUGCUUUAGAUGCACGCAGUUCCAAAUUAAUGCCGGAUAGAAAGGAUUUUGGAUAUAGUUUUCCUUGCGACAGCCCAGAGCACCGUGGUACUUGUGAUACUUCUGCUAGGGACGCCUUUUAUUUGGUACUUUUCUGGAUGUUAAAUACCAUUGGAUGGGUUACGUUUUAUUGGCAUUGGAAACAUAUCACAUUAUGGCAGAGCAACGUUUCACAAUUUCAUGAAUCCUCCACUUAUUUGAUGGGAUGGUUAAGAGAUUACCUAUGGUUAAACUCUUCACAAC
Molecule: long non-coding RNA, 4306 nt
Filed under: Setaria italica (foxtail millet)
Lineage: Eukaryota; Viridiplantae; Streptophyta; Magnoliopsida; Poales; Poaceae
Description: long non-coding RNA (SITA_LNC006761)
Source: RNAcentral